GGGGCCUUAGCUCAGAUGGGAGAGCGCCUGCAUGGCAUGCAGGAGGUCAGGGGUUCGAUCCCCCUAGGCUCCACCA
RNAcentral lists this transfer RNA (76 nucleotides) under Rhodobacterales bacterium. RNAcentral's name for it is "tRNA-Ala". It matches the Rfam family "tRNA". Rfam says of the family: Transfer RNA (tRNA) molecules are approximately 80 nucleotides in length. The record is from RNAcentral. Lineage: Bacteria; Pseudomonadati; Pseudomonadota; Alphaproteobacteria; Rhodobacterales.